UACGGGGGGAGCAAGCGUUGUUCGGAUUUACUGGGCGUAAAGGGCGCGUAGGCGGCGCAACAAGUCAGUUGUGAAAUCUCCGGGCUUAACUCGGAAAGGUCAACUGAUACUGUGCGACUAGAGUGCAGAAGGGGCAACUGGAAUUCUCGGUGUAGCGGUGAAAUGCGUAGAUAUCGAGAGGAACACCUGCGGCGAAGGCGGGUUGCUGGGCUGACACUGACGCUGAUGCGCGAAAGCCAGGGGAGCGAACGGG
RNAcentral lists this ribosomal RNA (253 nucleotides) under uncultured bacterium. Its description in RNAcentral is "partial 16S ribosomal RNA". It matches the Rfam family "Bacterial small subunit ribosomal RNA", at positions 524 to 776 of the family's 1533-position model. The record is from RNAcentral.